Molecule: long non-coding RNA, 2002 nt
Filed under: Homo sapiens (human)
Lineage: Eukaryota; Metazoa; Chordata; Mammalia; Primates; Hominidae
Description: HSALNT0402783
Source: RNAcentral
AGGCCGUCCUGUAGCCGGGCCGGCUUGGGGCUUGGUUCUAUGUCCCUGCGGGUCGGUGCAAGGGCGAAGAGGAACCCGUGGGCCUCAGGGGAUCCCGGGGGGCCGGACCAGUGUUCCCUAGUUGUGGGAGCAGACGCGUGGGCACAUUGCGGGCGGGCAGGGCCUGAAGUGCAGGUGCGGGCAGUGGACCCUGGCGGGGGCUGGGAGGACAGGCGUGGGGUCCCGGCAGUGAAACGGGUUCUAGAGGCGCAGGAGCAGGUAGGAGAGGCCGGUGGCCCUGGGCCCGGAGUCUGCAGGCCGCGCUCCUGUCCUGCCGCUGAGGGACCCGGUUACCAACCUGCAUGACGCUCAGUUUGCCCAUCUGUCCCAGUGGUAACACACAGUUCUCGGGAGACGUUCCCCAUUCCCAGAGGAGUAGUGUGAAACGCGUGCGCCUCUAGUCUUAAACUUGGCGUUUGUAUUAGUUGGGUUUCCUGGUGUCUCUUUAGCAAGUGAAGUUUCUGGUUCCCUCCUUCACUGUGUGACCUGCCUAGUCCUCCUGGGUCGCAUUUACAGAAGUUUAUACGAGACCUAGUUUCCAGGGAAGAACUCACUGAUUCCGCGAGGGAGAUGGCUUAAUGGAUGAUGGUCGUCAGCCUUAAGGAUACUUCAGUCUUAACUGUGUGUUACAAAGUUUGAAAGGGAGGGUUCCCUAUGAAUAAGAAGCACACUUGAAAGAACAGCCAUCUGGUCUAACCUCUCACUGGUGCUUCAGAGGAGGAAAAAAGGUCACAGCUAUGUUUCCAGUGUCCUCUGGGUGUUUCCAAGAGCAACAAGAAAUGAAUAAAUCUCUGUUGAAGAGAUACCAUUUGACAUUUUAGAGAUGGCUGCAUGCAAACUCUUGAAACAUUUGAGUAAGUACAGUACACCAGGGAGACUCUUAUGACUAUUGGGAUAACACCAAGAUGUGGUAUAUGCUCCUUACUCAGGGUCCCCAUAAAUCAAACCACCAAAAAUCAAAUAGAUUAAAGAAUGAAUUAGAUAAAGGGUUUACUUGCUUAACUAAGUGGUUUUUUUUUGUUAAUUCCCUACAACCAAAUCUUUAUAAUACCCCAUGUUUUCUCCACAUGCUGUAAGUGUUAGCAGCUGCACAGAUACUUAAGAUAAGAGUCUCAUGAUAGUAGAGAAGUCUUGAUCUGUGAUCUUGGGAAAAGCUGUUCACAUUAAGGAUGCCAUCUUCUUCUGGGGGGAACUGUCCGUGUUAGCUUUACCUUAAGGGUUCCAAUAGGCAUAUGGUUCUGAGUGUGGAGGGACCCUUCUGAGUUGUGAGACUAUGAACCCAAAGUUUAAGGUUUUAAAGUUUUGUUGUCAUGUGGAUGGCGAGGGCAGUCCUUCUCUGAUGUUCUCAGAAGAUCCAGUCAUCAGAUUCUAGAUUUUGAAGGGUUUGACUGUCCUCAGUGAACCAUAAAAGGCUUUCUUUACCUGGUGAAAAUACACUUCAGGGUAAUAAUCUACUGUUUUAACAUCAACUCUCUCGCAUGGAAGAGCUUUUAUACAAUCAGAAAACAUGCACUGAAAAUGACAACUGAAUGAAAUCCCUUUAUAAAAUGUUUAAAUGGCCCAUCAGAUAACCAAAUGUACCUAAAGUUUUGAUUGUUUUCCUAGGAAUAUAGGUUUCACAAACCAAACAUUGGUUAUAAACUAUUUUAGCAGUUUAGAAAUCACCACACCAAUAUAUUUAAUUUGGAUCGUUUUCUCUUUCUGUGAUGAGUUAUGGAAUGCAGAACUUUUAAUAACAAAAGUUUUUAGGACUUAAGAAGGAUAAGGUGGCCAUCCUGGUUCUUUAUAGGUCUGUGCUUAAUUAACAUCAGACUUACAUCCUCUUGAAUACCAGCUGUUUCUCCAAAUUAGGUGCAUGGCACUGGUAACUGAUGAGUAGUUAUAGGUAAUUUGAUUUAGACCAUGGAGUUUAUUUAAAUUAUAUAUCUAAACAAUUUCAAUAUUGGUGAUUUAGCAUGAAAAU